GCUCGGCCGCAGGGCUCGGGCGUGCGCGAUCCUCCGCCUCUGCGCGCCGCGCUCCGGAGCUGCGCCGCCGCUCAGCACCGAGGCGGCCUCCGCACGACCGACCCCGAGGCUUCGGGACCGACCCUGAGGCUUCGAGUGGAUGUUUGUGCCCGCGCUCGCUCCCCGACCGCUGUGGGGGCCGCGGGGCCGCGUCCACGCUGACAGGUCUCACCCCCUCAGGGCCCGCGGCGGGAGGAGAAGAAUAUAUUUGGAGAAAACUGUUGCUCCAUGAAUAUAUAUCUGUCAAGGCGUCAUUAUGUCCUGUGUCAUGCUUCCCUGAGCUGGCCAGAGCACUCAUGUCCCAUAUUUGAAACUCAGCUUCAGACUUUACGUGAAAAAUCACUGUUCCUGGUUCACAACUUCAACAACACAGAAGGGCGGCUGUUGUUCAUUCUGGAGCUUCCCUGCAGAACCAAGCAUGUGUAUAUAUUUUCUGGCACAAAUGGGCUCAUUCUAGAAGGAUGCUUGGAAGGUCUGAGAAGCACUGUCCACUCUGUUGGAACAGAAGCAGGCGUGCUGGCCUUAGGUCAGAGGUGCCUUCUUAUCCCCACCUGACAACAAUUCUUUGAUCUGCCUCCACGAGACCCGAAGUUUUGAACCACAGCAUCUGAGUCACACAGCCCAUCACAGGACAUCAGUGUUCCAAGAAAGCAACAGGUACAUCGGGCGCAGUGUCACUUAUGUGUCGGGGCUGGAGGUAAAGCUUCUUUUUAACCCAAAAUCUCCUGGGCUUUUCUCUUUUCUCUAGUUGAGCCAUGAAGUAAAACCGAAGUAGCUGUCAGCAUGGUGGAUUCGGUGCAACAGCUCCUUAGUGUCCCCGCAGGUAGCACAUCACAGGGAAUACCAUUUGCUCUGCUCAUUUACUACUUACCAAAUGUAAUCUGAAACCCCUGUUUCCUAGGAAAUCACUUGUAUCA
Molecule: long non-coding RNA, 956 nt
Filed under: Mustela putorius furo (domestic ferret)
Lineage: Eukaryota; Metazoa; Chordata; Mammalia; Carnivora; Mustelidae
Description: lncRNA (ENSMPUG00000028690.1)
Source: RNAcentral